This 67-nucleotide transfer RNA is filed under the name Sigmops gracilis (slender fangjaw). RNAcentral's name for it is "tRNA-Ser(AGY)". Lineage: Eukaryota; Metazoa; Chordata; Actinopteri; Stomiiformes; Gonostomatidae. The record is from RNAcentral.
AAGUGAGGCCUGUGGCCGUAGAGACUGCUAACCCCCUACCCCCGGAGCUAAAUACCCGGCUCACUUG